UUAGAAUAUUUUUAAGAGGUAGGGUUGGAAAACACAGUCGAGGAAAAAUGUUUAGCGAUAAGUUUUGGAAAUCGUUUACGGAGGACUUUUAGGUUAUAGAUUUUCUGUUUGCGCAAGUUUGGUCCGUAAUCGAGAUGCGACUCGUCUGUGAGGCGAGGACUUUUAGAACCAUGAGGAAAAUAUCUUUUGUUGACAAGUCAAACUUGAUCCAUUGGCUAGGAAUUAACAAGGCUUUAGUUGCACAUUUGAUCCAAGGGCUAGGAAUGGCAAAGACCUUUGUAUAGUAAGGAGGUUUAGGCACUUAAAGGACUUAGAAAAAUCAGAUUUUCACUCCUCUUUUCCUCUUCAAAACCGUGAACCAUUCCCCUUCAUACUAUUCAUCACAAAAUUCUCAUUUCUUGACCAAAUCAUCUCAUCCAAAGCUAGUUGAAUCCUUGGAACUUGCAAGAGUAACAUCACUAAGGAAGCACGAAACGGUAGAUUAGUGCGAACGUUGUGGUUUUGUGUUGGAAGCUUAGCCGAGUCGAUGGAGCGUUACCUGAGGCCGUAAGUCG
Trifolium pratense (red clover) is the source of this 554-nucleotide long non-coding RNA. RefSeq lists it as uncharacterized. The record is from RefSeq and is a predicted model, not a curated record. The transcript is spliced from 3 exons. NCBI's taxonomy places the organism in Eukaryota, Viridiplantae, Streptophyta, Magnoliopsida, Fabales, Fabaceae.